AACGAACGCUGGCGGCAGGCUUAACACGUGCAAGUCGAGCGGGCCCUUCGGGGUCAGCGGCGGACGGGUUAGUAACGCGUGGGAACGUGCCCUUUGCCUCGGAAUAGCCCUGGGAAACUGGGGGUAAUACCGGAUGUGCCCUGAGGGGGGAAGAUUUAUCGGGAAGGGAUCGGCCCGCGACUGAUUAGGUAGUUGGUGUGGUAACGGCGCACCAAGCCGACGGUCGGUAGCUGGUUUGAGAGGAUGAUCAGCGACACUGGGACUGAGACACGGCCCAGACUCCUACGGGAGGCAGCAGUGGGGAAUCUUAGACAAUGGGCGCAAGCCUGAUCUAGCCAUGCCGCGUGGGUGAUGAAGGCCUUAGGGUCGUAAAGCCCUUUCGCCGGGGAAGAUAAUGACGGUACCCGGUAAAGAAACCCCGGCUAACUCCGUGCCAGCCGCCGCCGUAA
Molecule: ribosomal RNA, 449 nt
Filed under: uncultured bacterium
Lineage: Bacteria
Description: partial 16S ribosomal RNA
Rfam family: Bacterial small subunit ribosomal RNA
Source: RNAcentral